RNAcentral lists this long non-coding RNA (239 nucleotides) under Homo sapiens (human). Its description in RNAcentral is "non-protein coding lnc-WRNIP1-19:4". Lineage: Eukaryota; Metazoa; Chordata; Mammalia; Primates; Hominidae. The record is from RNAcentral.
CACCCACCUCCUGCUAAUGGUCCAUUUUACAGAGAGCUGAUUGGUCCAUUUUACAGAGAGCUGAUAGGUCCAUUUUACAGAAAGCUGAUUAGUCCGUUUUGACAGGGUGCUGACUGGCCCCUGCCCUGUGGGGAGGCCCACACUGAAAAAAGAGAAAAUAUCAAGGUCUAAAAAGAAUUAAUAGCUCCCCCAGCGAUUUUUUUAAUGUAGCUAAAGUUGAGAACCCCUGGAUUGGGUAG